AUGAUCAGGUCUGCCAUCCGAGUCCUUUAUCUCGAUAUACGGUUUCUUCUUAAUCCGAUUCAGGUCUUCGUGCAAGCCGUCGAGUAAGAACGCCAUGAGUUCUUGUGAAUCUUGCUGCUGAUAGCCCGAGAAUUGUGGGGCAAAUCUACCUACCGCUGUCUUGAACUGCCUCGGAGAUAUCACACUGUAUUUUCCCGACCACAUUUGAUGCAUGAGCCCGGCGUACGCAUUCGCGAUCUCACCACGCAUGCCCAGUGGAUUUUCAUUGUUCAGUUCGGUCUUAUAGCAAUCGUUGACGAAGUACUUGGUAAGUGAUACGCAGUUGCUCAGACAUUGUACGGCGGAGUUCAUAAAACAAGUGUUACCGAGAUUCGUGAGACCACAAAGACCGGGAUGACUCGGUGACUCCCGCGCGUUGUAUUCGUUGUAGUAACUUGAAUAUCCACUUGUACUAGAGUGGCUCGAGUACGGACUG
Paramuricea clavata is the source of this 475-nucleotide non-coding RNA. Lineage: Eukaryota; Metazoa; Cnidaria; Anthozoa; Malacalcyonacea; Plexauridae. The record is from the annotation of a GenBank genome assembly.